Molecule: long non-coding RNA, 736 nt
Organism: Nycticebus coucang (slow loris)
Lineage: Eukaryota; Metazoa; Chordata; Mammalia; Primates; Lorisidae
Exons: 4
Source: RefSeq, a predicted model, not a curated record
UGUAAGGAUUUUCUAAAAAACAUUCCGGAAAGCAUUUUUUUAUCAAGGCUCUACCAUGAGUGGCUGUCCGUAAUGGAGAAAAGCAGCGACAGACAGAAAAUUGAAAAAAUUAAAAGGCUAUUAGACCAGCUACCAAGAGGAAACGUUGUGCUCUUAAGCUUGUGGAAUUUGUGAUAAAAAACUGCCGCAACAUCUUUGGAGGACACGUCACUGCCCUGUUUGGAGAGUCAUCCAGAAUAUAAAAUACUCAAGAAAAACCCUCAGAUACAUCUAGCAUUCCAGAGAGCAAUGCUUCCUCAUAUGAGAGCUUGAAGAAAAAAGCGACUGUGCUGCUGGCCACAGUGUGAUGAAUCAAAGAAAAUGCGUCCAAUUGAAGGGAAGCAUUGACUCGCUUAUAAUGUCUCUGGACUCUGGCCUUGAUGCCCUUGAAUUCUAAAUGAGCUUCAGGGCCUCCUGUAUGACUUUUAGUUCAGGUGGACCAGCCUCCUAAAGACAAGCCGAUGGAUGUAACAAUGUGCAGAGAUAUUCCACCACAGAAUCCUGCCAAGAUUCUGUCUGGCACUUGUCCACAGCUGCAUCAUAUGUUAAAAAAAAAAAAAUAGAAAAUGCUGUCAGCUGUCCUGUAUAAGCUCCACCUGAUCUACAAGGCUAAUUCUAUCAUAUUAACAGCUGUGGCUCACCUGUUGCCCUAGUUACUUGGGAGCUGAUUUCCCAGCAGAAACUUUGUAGGCCAGAU